Non-coding RNA from Schistosoma margrebowiei, 45 nucleotides. The record is from Rfam. Lineage: Eukaryota; Metazoa; Platyhelminthes; Trematoda; Strigeidida; Schistosomatidae.
AUCCAGCUGACGAGUCUCAAAUAGGACGAAACGCGCGUUCUGGAU